Long non-coding RNA from Amblyraja radiata (thorny skate), 843 nucleotides. RefSeq lists it as uncharacterized. The transcript has 3 exons. NCBI's taxonomy places the organism in Eukaryota, Metazoa, Chordata, Chondrichthyes, Rajiformes, Rajidae. The record is from RefSeq and is a predicted model, not a curated record.
GGCUGGUGAGUGACAGGAGGCGGGGGCUGGUGAGUGACAGGAGGCGGGCAUCACGCGCCGCCAUUUUAGCCGUUGGGCUUUUGCCGCCAAACGGCACGAGGUCACUUGCCCGCCAUUUGACUUCGUGGAUCCAUGUGGAGAAACCCAGCUACCUCACUGUGGUUGGAUGUAAUGACUUCGCGACCCACUCUGGUGGAUGUAAUGACUUCACGACCCACUAUGUUGGAUGUAAUGACUUUACGACCCACUCUGGUGGAUGUAAUGACUUCGCAACCCACUCUGGUGGAUGUAAUUACUUCACGACCCACUCUGGUGGAUGUAAUGACUUCGCAACCCACUCUGGUGGAUGUAAUGACUUCGCGACCCACUCUGGUGGAUGUAAUGACUUCGCGACCCACUCUGGUGGAUGUAAUGACUUCGCGACCCACUGUUGGAUGUAAUGACUUUGCGACCCACUCUGGUGGAUGUAAUGACUUCGCAACCCACUCUGGUGGAUGUAAAGACUUCGCGACCCACUCUGGUGGAUGUAAUGACUUCGCGACCCACUCUGGUGGAUGUAAUGACUUUGCAACCCACUAUGUUGGAUGUAAUGACUUCGCGACCCACUCUGGUGGAUGUAAUGACUUCGCGACCCACUCUGGUGGAGAAUUCCAAUGAUUUACCACCCUCUGAGUGUGAAGAGCUGAGAACUGGAGAACAAUUGAGUUCCUUCCAGAGGUAUUAAUACAGAUUGGAACCUCACGAAACAUGCAUGCAAAAAAAAUCCUGGAUUGGGCUCGGCUGGGAUCACUCCAGACUGUGAUCAUGAUGAACAUCCACCAAGAUGAGCUGUUAAACUAUACC